RNAcentral lists this small nuclear RNA (107 nucleotides) under Cervus hanglu yarkandensis (Yarkand deer). The record is from RNAcentral. Lineage: Eukaryota; Metazoa; Chordata; Mammalia; Artiodactyla; Cervidae.
GUGCUCACUUCAGCAGCACAUAUACUAAAAUUGGAAAGAUACAGAGAAGAUUAGCAUGGCCCCUGCACAAGGAUGACAUGCAAAUUCGUGAAGCAUUCCAUAUUUUU